Long non-coding RNA from Brassica napus (rape), 695 nucleotides. RefSeq lists it as uncharacterized. The transcript is spliced from 2 exons. Lineage: Eukaryota; Viridiplantae; Streptophyta; Magnoliopsida; Brassicales; Brassicaceae. The record is from RefSeq and is a predicted model, not a curated record.
CAAGUUGGAGCAAGGUUUGAAGUUUUUGAAAAUUUUCAAGGAGCAUACGAGCAAGAUUUGCAUUUUGGAUGACGUUUCCUUCUAUGAGGUUCGACAGAAGAUUAUUUUGGAGAAGAAAGCGAAGCAACAGCAAACCCACAAACAGGUAAGUGAGGAUAAUAGUACAGAAGAUGAGAAAAAGAAAUCUGCAACUGCUGAUCCUGCUCAUAAGGAAUCUCCUCCAGGUGCUCAAACUAUCGGUGAUGUAACGGUUGAUGAGAAUGGAUCUGUUUCUAAACCAGUUGAUGUGGUGGAAAAUGGUUGUUAGAUAGAUUAGUCGAUGCUGCUCACGGCUUGAGCACAAACACAACAAGAGAGAAGGAUUCUCUUGAAAACGAGUGCGGGGAGCUUUGAAGCAAGGAGGAGCUUUAGUACCUAUGACCGAGAACUGUUUCUUUUCCCUUAGAAAUUAAAAUCAAUUUUGUUUGUUUUCACAUGUCUUUACAAUUUUCUGUUUUUUCGCUUUUUCAUUUUCUGUUGAUGCUGUUACCCUACAAAAUUGGUUAAUAUGACCUACAAAUAGUGGGAAGUAGUAGGAAAAAGGAGAUAAAACAGGGUGGUUUUGUUUUCCUUUCUGAUGAAAGUCUUUUCUUUACCGUUUAUGGAUUCAAACUUGCUAUGUUUGACUUCUUUAGUAGAAGGUCUCUUUUCGUCUU